CCCUUAGAUGUCCUGGGCCGCACGCGCGCUACAAUGGCAGACUCAGCGAGUUACCUCUGUCGAAAGGCACAGGGAAUCUUUACAGUAUCUGCCGUGAUGGGGAUAGACCCUUGUAAUUUUUGGUCUUCAACGAGGAAUUCCUAGUAAACGCAAGUCAUUAACUUGCAUUGAUUACGUCCCUGCCCUUUGUACACACCGCCCGUCGCACCUACCGAUUGAAUGGUCCGGUGAAGUCCUCGGACCCAGUUGAACCUCGAGUUGAACAGGGAAAGUUGACUAAAUCUUACCAUUUAGAGGAAGGUGAAGUCGUAACA
This 314-nucleotide ribosomal RNA is filed under the name uncultured eukaryote. Its description in RNAcentral is "partial 18S ribosomal RNA". It matches the Rfam family "Eukaryotic small subunit ribosomal RNA", at positions 1470 to 1796 of the family's 1831-position model. The record is from RNAcentral.